RNAcentral lists this ribosomal RNA (468 nucleotides) under uncultured bacterium. RNAcentral's name for it is "partial 16S ribosomal RNA". It matches the Rfam family "Bacterial small subunit ribosomal RNA", at positions 28 to 507 of the family's 1533-position model. The record is from RNAcentral.
GACGAACGCUGGCGGCGUGCUUAACACAUGCAAGUCGAACGGAAAGGCCCUGCUUUUGUGGGGUGCUCGAGUGGCGAACGCGUGUGUAACACGUGAGUAACCUGCCCUUGACUUUGGGAUAACUCCAGGAAACUGGGGCUCAUACCGGAUAGGAGCUCCUGCUGCACGGUGGGGGUUGGAGAGUUUCGGCGGUUGUGGAUGGACUCGCGGCUUAUCAGCUACUUGGUGGGGUAGUGGCUUACCACGGCUUUGACGGGUAGCCGGCCUGAGAGGGUGACCGGCCACAUGGGUACUGAGAUACGGCCCAGUCGCGUACGGGAGGCAGCGGUGGGAAAUAUUGCGCAGUGGGCGGGAGCCUGAGGCAGCAACGCCGGGAGCGUGAUGACCGCCUUCGGGUUGUAAACCGCUUUGGCCGGUGACGAGGCGUGAGUGACGGUAAUGGGUAAAGAAGCACCGGCUAACUACGUG